This 644-nucleotide long non-coding RNA is filed under the name Nicotiana tabacum (common tobacco). RNAcentral describes it as "long non-coding RNA (NTAB_LNC005960)". The record is from RNAcentral. Lineage: Eukaryota; Viridiplantae; Streptophyta; Magnoliopsida; Solanales; Solanaceae.
ACGGUAGGGUAAACAAGUUGAAUAUUACAAAUGUUGGUGUCAUUGGCACGCUCUAUGAUUUUCCAUUUUCGUCCCUCCCUUUUCUUGAAUAUGUUGAUAUUAGCAUGAACCAGCUCUCUGGCACUAUCCCACCUGAAAUAGGCAAACUCACUAAUCUUGUCUAUCUUGACUUGUCGACUAAUCAGAUUUCAGGCACAAUCCCGCCACAAAUUGGCGCACUUGUCAAUCUUGUUGAAGCUCGUCUUCAGAAAAACCAAUUAACAGAUCAUAUUCCUCUAGAAAUAGGUAACUUGAUCAAUGCAAAAAAUUUCUAUGCUUUCUCCAAUGAAUUGUCUGGUCCUAUUCCUGCUGAAAUAGGAAAAAUGAAGUCACUUGAGCAUUUAUUGUUAUAUAGAAACAAUCUUUCUGGUCCAAUCCCAAACAGUAUAGGUGAUUUAAUUGAGCUCAAACUUUUGUACCUUUAUGUUAACAAACUUUCUGGCUCCAUUCCUAGUGAGUUGGGAAAUCUGGAAAACCUCAUGGAUCUGGAAUUAUCGCGUAAUCAACUUGCUGGUCCAAUUCCUGCUUCAUUUGGCAAUUUGAGAAACUUGCAAUUUCUGUUUCUUCAUGUUAAUAGACUUUCUGGCUCCAUUCCUGCAGAAAUA